CCUUGGAGUCCGGAGUAACUUGGCCAGGCUGGCCCCGAGCGGAACUGGAGAAAGCUGAGGGGGUUGGGCAUGUUCCAGGAUCUGUCUAUCGACUUCUCUCAGGAGGAAUGGGAGGGCCUGGACACUGCUCAGAAGGACUUAUAGAGAGAUGUAAUGAUGGAGAACUAUAGCAGCCUGGUCUCACUAGGUCUCUCUAUCCCAAAGCCUGAUGUGAUUUCCUUACUGGAGCAAGGGAAAGAGUCCUGCAUGGUUUCAAGGGACGUACCAGGAGGAUGGUGCCCA
RNAcentral lists this long non-coding RNA (282 nucleotides) under Homo sapiens (human). RNAcentral describes it as "PREDICTED lncRNA (TCONS_00166960)". The record is from RNAcentral. Lineage: Eukaryota; Metazoa; Chordata; Mammalia; Primates; Hominidae.